GAUCCGGAGCGGCCCCGGAUGCAGAGGUGGGGCAGAAGGCCAGCUCCCGGAGAGUUCACCUGUAGAGUUCCCGGCUGGAAACCGAAGCAGGUGUGCUUGCCAUAGGUCGGAGGUCCUACUUAUCCCCACCUGACAGCACUUCUCCCCUCUGGCUCCAUGAGACCCGAAGUUUUGAACAUCAGCAUGUGAGUCAGUGAUGCUGCUUGUCACAGGACGUCAGCAUUCAGAGAGAGCAGCAGGUCCAUUUGGCACAAUGUCAUCUUCAAGUCAGGACUGGAGUUUCUUUGGUGAUGGAGUCAGAAGGAGAGUGUUUGGGAAUUCUGGAUGGAGGCAUGCUGGUGUCAGGAGCACUGGGUUGAGUUCUGGAACUGCUUGCCUGAGCCUAGGUGCGUCAGGUUAUCCCACAGAGCUUCCGUUGACUCCUUAUGAAAUUUGUGGAAGGAGCAGGAUCUGUGGACUCCAGGGGUGAUGUGAGAAACCUCAGAAGCCUCCCUUGUCCGUGUUUCCCUCUUCUGUCCCGGUGCUCCGUUCCUUCCUAAGGCCUUGUCACCCGGACCAGAGCAGUGAAUCUGGAACCUCUUCCAAAUGGAGACCCGGAGGCUGCAACAAGGAGGGUCUUGGCCUUGGUCCCCAGACUAGUGGUCAGUGCUCUGCCACGUUCUGCGUACCCAGGUCCUCAGCCCCCCAAGCCCCCAGUCUGUCCCCUGCUCAGAAGGACCUCGAGGGAGUACAAAGCAUUUUCCCAGGACUGGGAGCACAGUGGGUCGGGGAUGGAGAUCCAAGGCCAAAGGCUCUUCCACAAGCCUGUGGGACCCUAGGGACACUGCAUCUCUACAGCCCAAGUGACAGAAGAGUAAGCUGAGGCCUUUGUGCUGUAGCCCCUCUGGACUUGGGGGUGGGUAUCUCUUCCUGCUUCCAAGUGCCCAGGCUGGUGAUGGACACCGGAACCCAGACCCUGUCCUCUCCCAGUGCCCUGGCAACCCUUCGGGGCCCCUUGGGGGCCCGUGACCCUCAGCCUGGCCUGUCUCCCCUCCCCAUGCUAUGGAUCUGGGUCCUUGCCAGGAGUCCUGAUGCCCUGCCCCAUGGCCCAGCUGUCUGCAAUCUGUUUCUUCUUUCCCCCCUGUCACCCACCUCGCUCCCAGGGUGUCUUCCCCUUCUGACCCCCAGCUGGGCAUUCAGAGUGGUGUGUGUGUGUGUGGGGGGGGGUGGGUUUGCAGGUGCACGUGCCUCUACGUGCCUGGGGGUGCCAAGGUCAUGUCCCCACAUGGGACGGGAUGGGUAGCUCUUCCCGAGGAUCUGAGGGGCUCUCACCCCCAAAGCAAACCUCAUGGGACGGUUGGGACUGGCCUAGGACUGGAGAGUAGCUCCUUGGACUCUGCACCCCUCAGUUGUCCUGGGCCAGUCCCUGCCUCUCUUGACCCAGGUUCCCAACUGUCCCUGAGGGUCGGACAUGGAAAGGCUUGAACGUGGCUGCUCCUCCAGGGGUAGGUGGGGGACAGGUGCACCAGGCACGCAGGCCUCCCCACCGAGAGGGCCAGCCAGGUGUGUCAUGGCCAGGUGUGCACAGACGACCUGCCCACAGCUCCUGUACCAUGACCCAGCCCUGCGGCAGAUGUGCACGAGACCCAUGGCUCCGCACCUGACUGGUCCCCCGCGUUCCCUCACCACCUCGGAGACAAGGGCUCUUCUUCGUCCUAGGACCCGUCAUCCUUCGGACAAUGAGAGCAGAGGGAUCCGUAUGUAGAGGAGGCCGGCAGGGUGUCCCACGGAACGUCGUGUGCCCAUCUCUGCUUUGUCGUCUAGGCUUAGCGGCGGACCCCCACCUAGAAAGAGGCCCGCGGGGCAGGGACAUUUGUCUGCCCUGUUCCCUGAAUUAUGGAAAAUGUCUAGAAGGGGCUUCCUGUCCAUUUGUGGAGUCGAUGAAGCCCAGCCAGCACCUUUCAGAGGUCUGAGUGGCUCUGGGGCCCCUCUGCCAGCCCCCAGGGAUCCCUGCUCUGGUUCCACCCAGGAUGGGAGCCCCAGAUGGAAUCUGAAACCUCCUCACAGCCAGGAAUGCGGCUUUGCCCGGGACACAGGACACCGAGGCUUGGGGCAGAGAGCUCCUUCACGGUGGAGAGGAACCGCCUCAGCCCCAGGCCAUCCUCCCCGUGGGCCGGCCACAGGGUCGGGGAGCGGUCCCAACAGGCCCAACGGCAACCCCGUGUGUGGGGCCUGGCCUCGUGGCACGCAGGGUCCCCAGGAGACACCUGAGGUUCGGAGAGGGGACGUGCCAGGCCCAAGACACACAGCCCACAGGUGAGGGGGAGCCUCCGGGCGGGACGGGGGGCCCUGCUCACCUUUGUGAGCAGCAGGUGUGGGAAGGGCUGGGAGGCGUUCCUCUGGGAGGUGCUCCGGGAGAGGGGCCACAGGAGAGGGCCUGGCCCGGCUCCACCAGCUUCCUCAGGCUGUCAGCACGGACCGCCCACAGCCUCUGGCUCGCCCCCAGCGGCAGGGCCCACUCAGGUUCACGGUGGGGCUGAUCUUUGGAUAAAGGAGGGACAAUUCCCAACACAGAAACUGCAAAACUAUUCCUGUCCAUGUCCUGAAGUGCAACAGAAUAUCCAAAUUGGUUCGGAUCAUCUUCCACGUAUGUGAAGGGUGAUUUUGUACCUGGCCAAGGCGGGGGCUGGACCGGGUGUGUGUGUCUGUGUGUGAAGGACCAGGUGUGUGUGUGUGUGUGUUUGAAGGACUGGGUGUGUGUGUGUGUUUGGCGUGUGUGUCUGUGUGUGUGUGUCUGUGAAGGGAGCAGCCCAGACCCCUUGGGUUGAGAUCAUGGCCACGUAAGGGGCACAGCCGUC
Molecule: long non-coding RNA, 2837 nt
Organism: Mirounga angustirostris (Northern elephant seal)
Lineage: Eukaryota; Metazoa; Chordata; Mammalia; Carnivora; Phocidae
Exons: 4
Source: RefSeq, a predicted model, not a curated record